This is a long non-coding RNA of Homo sapiens (human), 474 nucleotides long. NCBI's taxonomy places the organism in Eukaryota, Metazoa, Chordata, Mammalia, Primates, Hominidae. The record is from Ensembl.
AUCAGAGGAACAUCUGAUCAAGCACCACUCCCCACUGACACUGGACCUUGGAGAAAGUCACCCUAGUACCCUGGAAAUCAAAUGCUGACACAGUGGCAGCCACCACUAGAACGAGGUCUCCACUUCCCCUCAACAGCUUAAUGAGCAUCGCCCCUGCCCCAAGACGGGAUCCAGAGGACUCUGUGAAGGUGGCAGGUUCAAGCAUGUAAGGACUCUGAAAGUCCCCGAGACCUCUCCAACAGCCCCAGAGAAGAUCUAGAAAUUCCAACUCGUUAUGAGCUGACAGAAAGGCUGAUGUGCUGCGGAAGGGGUUGGUACCGGGACCUUGGAUCAGAGGCUUUGCAGGGUUGGGUCCAUGAGGGGUCCAAAGAGAAACAGUUAUGUCUCAACGAGGAUGCAGUGCAUGAGUGGGGCUUGGUAAAAACUCCAUGUAGUGAAUAAAGGGCUUCACUAAUAAAUUCUCUUAUUAAUCCC